GAGGGCGUGUAUUAGGUAAAUCCUGUACACAUUAUCCCGAGCGUUGACGCAAUUUCCUUCUACGGAGGGAGAGAGAAUGCAAACCGCGGUUUCUAGAAAAUCUUCUACGCAUCAUCUUUAUAGACGACCGUACCGCAAACCGACACAGGUGGUUAAGUCGAGAAGACUAAGACGAACGGGUGAGAGAUCCUCAAGGAACUCGGCAAAAAAGCGGCCGUAAGUUAGCGAUAAGGCCUGCCCUUUGCCCGCAAGGGUGAGGGGCCGCAGUGAAAGUUUUUCUGGCAACUGUUUACCAAAAACACAGCUCCCUGCAAACUCGUAAGAGGAAGUAUAGGGGGUGACACCUGACCAAUGCCGGAAGGUCAACCAUGGUUGGUCCAUUGUCGCAAGAUGAUUGGCUGGACUAUGUAAGCCCCGGUGAAUGUCGGCGAUAACUAUAAUCGUCCUAAGGUUCCGCGUUUGAGCUUCGGCUCGAGCGCGGAAGGACUAGGACGAUUGUAGUGGUAAACAACAUCAAGCUGCCUUGUCUUGUAGCAAUACAAGAAUUAGUCCAAUCGUAGCCAUAUGCUGGGAAGCGCGAAAGCGUGAUCAGCAGGGAAGAUUUGUGUGCUGAAUGAUGGGAAUGGUAAGAUCCGAAUUCGACAAGUCCAGAGAGGGGAUCGUGAAUGUUAAUCGAUAGCCCCCUCAAAGGAUAUUUGGAGAAAUCCUACGAAUUGCACGGAUACAGCCAAGUUGCUAUUUUCAUCCGCAGGAGCGACCAGUUCGCUCCUGCCCAUCAUUCAGCACACAGAAACCCUCAGAUACCAAACGCUACGCUCCGCGAAAGUGGAUGAAGUUAUGGUACUUCGUUGAAAGGAACGAACAGCGUAAUUCCUUGUCGGGUAAGGAAGUUGCCCGUUCUGGAAGUGAUUCCAGAAGCAAAAUCUGCUAUAACGGUGAACUCCUCGCUGGAGCGCCAUGAAGGGUGGCGCAGUGAAGGCAGGACAAUACCGUGGGAAGUCGUUCCGAGCGUAAGCGAGGGAUUGACCCCGUAUCGACUUCGGUCGCCAACAUCCAUUGGCGACCGAGAUGGUGCUACCAUGUAGUAAUACGAUGACACGCCAUAAUACGCAGACGCUGAAGACGAAACAGAGAGAUGUGAACGAAUAUAUUUCCGGCUUUUCUGACGGAGAAGGAUGCUUUUCAGUAUCUUUCUCCAAGCGAGAUAAAUUCUUGAUUGGAUGGGAGACAAAACCAAGCUUUUGCGUGGGACAAAACCAUGAUAGAGCCGAAGUCUUGUUUCUUAUGCAACAGAAGUUCGGGUGUGGAUUCAUGAGAAGAGAUAUGAAAGACAAGACUCUCAAAUAUGAGGUUCGAAGUCUGAAUGAUCUUCUCAGCAAAGUGAUUCCACAUUUUGAGCAGUAUCCACUUAUGUCAGGUAAAGCAAAAGACUUCAAAUUGUUUAAACGGGUAUGCCUUCUUAUGGAGAAGAGGAAGCAUACGACGUUAAGCGGUUUGAAAGAAAUCACCCGACUCGCAUUUCAAAUGAAUCCGAGUGGGUUGAGGAAAUAUACGCGUGCAAAGAUUCUAGCUGUGGCUCGUUGUCAGAUGAAGAUAUAGUCAGUGCCCGUAGAAAUACGGGAAGAACAUGAAGUUCCGACGUGCACGAAUGGUGUAAUGACUGGAAAACUGUCUCGAGGACUCGCUCGGUGAAAAUGCACUUCCGGUGAAGAUGCCGGAUACCUGUAGUUAGACGAAAAGACCCCAGGAGCUU
RNAcentral lists this ribosomal RNA (1753 nucleotides) under Candidatus Woesebacteria bacterium. RNAcentral's name for it is "partial 23S ribosomal RNA". It matches the Rfam family "Bacterial large subunit ribosomal RNA", at positions 1521 to 2101 of the family's 2925-position model. The record is from RNAcentral. Lineage: Bacteria; Candidatus Woeseibacteriota.